RNAcentral lists this long non-coding RNA (303 nucleotides) under Gossypium raimondii (Peruvian cotton). Its description in RNAcentral is "long non-coding RNA (GRAI_LNC007754)". Lineage: Eukaryota; Viridiplantae; Streptophyta; Magnoliopsida; Malvales; Malvaceae. The record is from RNAcentral.
GGAAAGAAAUUUCGAUAAAAAUUUUGGCAGCAGUUCGGCAGCAAAGAGAAUAAAUUGAAAACGUCAAAAGAUUAGGAGCAACAGAGAUUUGGGAAAAAAACAGUUAUAAAUUGGCUUGGUAAAAAAAAAGAAAAAGAAUAAAAGAUGAAAACAGAGAGAAAAACUAAAAGCAGAAAUGGUAAAACUAUUAGAAAAUUGGGGAAUGAGAGAGGGUAGCCGUAAUUGCCACUAUUAGUUUCGGUUCUAUCCAAACUCUUCCAUCCAAAAUCUCCACAAAACACUCCCCUCAAUCUCUAAAUCCUC